GGAGGGGCCGAGCCGGUGGCGCGCGUCUCUGCGCGGGGAUGGCGCUGUGGCCGCCGCGCUCCCGGGGUCUCCGCGCGGGGGAGGGGCAGGAGCCGGACCCGGACCCGCCCUGCGCGCCCCGCCCGCCGGACCCGCAGAUAUAUGGCCAUGGGAUUGAAUUGGCUUGCCAAAAACAAAAGGAGUUUGUGAAGAGCUCUGUGGAAUGCAAAUGGAAUUUAGCAGAAGCCCAGCAGAAACUUGGUAGUUUAGCACUGCAUAACUCUGAGUCCCUGGAUCAGGAACAUGCCAAAGCACAGACUGAUGCUUCAGAAUUGAGACAGAGGGAGGAAGAAUGGAGACAGAAAGAAGAGGCGCUAAUACAGAGGGAAACACAAAAUCUGUGGAACACAGAUUCUGUUAGCAAGGAUGUAUUUAAUAAGAGUUUUAUUAAUCAAAAGAAAAGAAAAGAAAUAGAAGAUGAAGACAAAUCCAAAUCAUUCAUGCAGAAACAUGAACAAAAAAUUAGACAUUUUGGCAUGCUAAGCAGAUGGGAUGAUAGCCAGAGAUUUUUGUCUGACCAUCCAUACCUUGUAUGUGAAGAUACAGCUAAAUAUCUCCUCUUAUGGUGUUUUCACCUAGAAGCAGAACAGAAAAGGGCUCUGAUGGAACAAGUAGCACACCAAGCAGUUGUUAUGCAGUUUAUUAUAGAAAUGGCUAAAAGUUGUAAUGUGGAUCCCAGAGGCUGUUUUCGUCUAUUUUUCCAAAGAGCAAAAGCAGAAGAAGAAGGUUAUUUUGAGGCUUUUAAAAAUGAACUCGAAGCAUUUAAAUCAAGAGUGAAAAUCUCUUCACAAUCACAAAGUUUUCAGGCUAUGUCAGUUCAGAAUCCCAUUGCUCAUACUGGUCUCAGUUCCUUAGGCGUGUUGGAGUUUUUGCCACAGACUGCAGACUCUCUUCAAAGCUGCGUAAACACAGGUCUCUUUAAUUUAAACUCAUUGGUACACCGAGAUGAUGAGGAACCCAAAAUGAUGGACACAAUAUAAUACUGUUAAGACUGAGGCCAAGUACUUUUAUUACAAAGAAAAGAACGUGGCUCUUUUCUUGACACUUACUUUUCUGGGUGCUGCACUUUAUUUUUUGCGUUUGUUUUUUGGAAGGAGGGUAAUCCAGAAACACAUUUGUCAUUUUGUUUGAAAAUGUGCUGCUAGAUUUUUGGUUCCCUUUUAGGAGAGGCGUUCUCAUAUGUUACCGAAUGUGAAACUGGAUGUUGUUUCUGCUACUUAAACUUACCUUUAUUCUUAAUUUUAGGAAUCAAAGUAUGACAAACAAAUCUGCACAAAUACAAUGUUUACGAGAAGUGGUUGAUUCUAGUUGGAAUCUGCUAUAAUCUUUUAUUAUGGACAUGGACGUGUCUUGCUCUAUGAAUACUAAGGAUCACAAUUGUACUCAUGCUAUACUGCUGACAUAAAAGAACUGAAGUUCCAUCUGCAGGUGCCUGUUGCUCUGGUAUCUAAGCCCUGAGGUUGUUGCAGGCAUGUGAAGGACAGAACACACUUCUGAUAAAAACCUCAGGACCAUCUGAGAAAGAGCAGCCAAUAUCCUAUUCUUCUGGAAAGUGAAGAAAUUUGUAUUUAGGCUAGUGCAAAGGUCGGGAGAGCUGAUGCUUUUUGUCUGGAAAUGGUCCAGAAACCCCAGUAAUGCUGGUGUCAAAUGGAAGUAUAGAACAAAUCAAGGUUUUGUAUGGGAAUGCUAAGGCAACUGUCCAAAGGAAUCUAGUCUCCAAGGAAUAUGUGUAUGUCUAGAGGUGUCUCUAAGGACAUAAAGGCUGGUGGCUGCAAAAUUUUUGUGUCAUCCUUUUUUUUUGUUUGUUUGUUUAGAAAAGGACCCAAACUGAACAGUAUCUACCUCAAUAGCCUUAUACUUACAACAAAUGAAAAGCUUUCCAAAUUCCUCAGAUGCUUUUCUUGGAAUAUGUCAGUACUGGUGGUGUUAAUACUUUGGAGUAAAAACCCUACUGUAAAGUAUUUUAACUAUGCUGGCAGUACUAGUAGAUGACCUGUUUGUUGGAUCAAUACCAGAGAGGAGUGAUGCCCUCAGCAGCAUGGUCUGCUGCCAGUUAUACCAGGUCCAUAAAGUUUAACUAUCUGGAUGUGAUGAUUACAUUGAUUUCUGUACCUAGAUCUUGCUGACCAGUUUCUGAAGAAGUGGGAUUGAGGGAAAUGAAAUCAGCAGAGUCUGUAAAGCUGAAAACAUGGGUAUGUGUUCCUUGUAAAGACUAGCAGUAGCUACAAAAAUCUGGACUGCUUGGUAUUUGAAAGAGCCAAGCUUACAGAGGGCUGUUGACCUCAGCCAUUGAAGUCCAGUGUGGAAUGGGAAUGAGGCUGGUUCCUUACCACCAAAAUAUGCAAUGUACUCAUCUCUAUUAAUUUUAUGGGAGAGACUAUUACCCUACUGUUUUAAUCUCUGCUUUAUAACCUCAUUAAUUGAGGAUUAAAGUUACACUCUACCACACCAAAUGUGGUUUUGUUUCCAGUGGGACUCUUCUAGGUGCAACUAGGUAGUCAGAAUUUUGUUAAUGUUGUAACUUAGUGGAGUGAAAUAGCAAAAAGGUCAGUUUUGUAACUUUAAAUGUGGAUAAAUAAAGGCUUCAAGAUAGCUUGACAAAACAUAGCUAACAUGUUUAAUCAAAGAAGCUUGAAUACUCUUGUGGCAAGAUUCUCCCCCACUGCUUUGGAAAUGAGAUUUAAUUUUCUGUAAUAAAACAUUUUAUUGUA
Terrapene triunguis (Three-toed box turtle) is the source of this 2750-nucleotide RNA transcript. It is a transcript of the gene named cell division cycle 37 like 1, with no coding region annotated. The transcript has 8 exons. The record is from RefSeq and is a predicted model, not a curated record. Lineage: Eukaryota; Metazoa; Chordata; Testudines; Emydidae.